GGGGCAGUGGUCUAGCUCGGUUAUGACAUUUACAAGCUCGAGCGGAGUAGGUCGGCGGUUCAAAUCCGCUCUGCCCCACCA
RNAcentral lists this transfer RNA (81 nucleotides) under Candidatus Heimdallarchaeota archaeon. RNAcentral's name for it is "tRNA-Ser". It matches the Rfam family "tRNA". From Rfam's summary of the family: Transfer RNA (tRNA) molecules are approximately 80 nucleotides in length. Their secondary structure includes four short double-helical elements and three loops (D, anti-codon, and T loops). The record is from RNAcentral. Lineage: Archaea; Promethearchaeati; Candidatus Heimdallarchaeota.